AAAACAUUAGUAAAAUAAAUAACAUCACCUUGUCAAGAUGAAGUUGUAGGUUAGAUUCCUGCAUGUUUUA
RNAcentral lists this transfer RNA (70 nucleotides) under Oreichthys cosuatis. RNAcentral describes it as "tRNA-Asp". It matches the Rfam family "tRNA". From Rfam's summary of the family: Transfer RNA (tRNA) molecules are approximately 80 nucleotides in length. Their secondary structure includes four short double-helical elements and three loops (D, anti-codon, and T loops). The record is from RNAcentral. Lineage: Eukaryota; Metazoa; Chordata; Actinopteri; Cypriniformes; Cyprinidae.